This 789-nucleotide ribosomal RNA is filed under the name uncultured bacterium. RNAcentral describes it as "bacterial SSU rRNA". It matches the Rfam family "Bacterial small subunit ribosomal RNA", at positions 8 to 798 of the family's 1533-position model. The record is from RNAcentral.
AGAGUUUGAUCCUGGCUCAGGACGAACGCUGGCGGCGUGCUUAACACAUGCAAGUCGAACGGAAAGGCCCCUUCGGGGGUACUCGAGUGGCGAACGGGUGAGUAACACGUGGGUGAUCUGCCCUGCACUUUGGGAUAAGCCUGGGAAACUGGGUCUAAUACCGAAUAGGACCGCAUGCUUCAUGGUGUGUGGUGGAAAGCUUUUGCGGUGUGGGAUGGGCCCGCGGCCUAUCAGCUUGUUGGUGGGGUAAUGGCCUACCAAGGCGACGACGGGUAGCCGGCCUGAGAGGGUGUCCGGCCACACUGGGACUGAGAUACGGCCCAGACUCCUACGGGAGGCAGCAGUGGGGAAUAUUGCACAAUGGGCGCAAGCCUGAUGCAGCGACGCCGCGUGGGGGAUGACGGCCUUCGGGUUGUAAACCUCUUUCAGUAUCGGCGAAGCUCCAGGAUUUUUCCUGGGGUGACGGUAGGUACAGAAGAAGCACCGGCCAACUACGUGCCAGCAGCCGCGGUAAUACGUAGGGUGCGAGCGUUGUCCGGAAUUACUGGGCGUAAAGAGCUCGUAGGUGGUUUGUCACGUUGUCUAUGAAAACUCAUAGCUUAACUGUGGGCGUGCGGGCGAUACGGGCAGACUGGAGUACUGUAGGGGAGACUGGAAUUCCUGGUGUAGCGGUGGAAUGCGCAGUUAUCAGGAGGAACACCGGUGGCGAAGGCGGGUCUCCGGGCAGUAACUGACGCUGAGGAGCGAAAGCGUGGGGAGCGAACAGGAUUAGAUACCCUGGUAGUCCAA